This 74-nucleotide transfer RNA is filed under the name Serratia marcescens. RNAcentral's name for it is "tRNA-Glu". It matches the Rfam family "tRNA". Rfam says of the family: Transfer RNA (tRNA) molecules are approximately 80 nucleotides in length. Their secondary structure includes four short double-helical elements and three loops (D, anti-codon, and T loops). The record is from RNAcentral. Lineage: Bacteria; Pseudomonadati; Pseudomonadota; Gammaproteobacteria; Enterobacterales; Yersiniaceae.
GUCCCCUUCGUCUAGAGGCCUAGGACACCGCCCUUUCACGGCGGUAACAGGGGUUCGAAUCCCUGGGGACGCCA